UCAUGUUUUCAGUAGAAUUCACUGUUGCAGUAUUUGUGAGAGAUGACUCCUGUUUCCUCAAUUGUCCUCCUAUUCUCUCUGGAGAGAGUCCUGGUCCCUCAACUCCGCACCAGGGGAAGUGAAAGAGCAAGCAGGACUUGCAAAAUACACUGGAUAUGCUGACAAAGUACAUUUUUAGCUCCAAAGCCACUGACUCAUGCUCCUGAGCAGCUGGAUUCCCACAGGAAAGGAGGUAGCCAGAGCAGUUUAAAGAAGCAUUUAUCUUAAAGACUCAUAAAAGAAAUUGCUGUGGUAUGAAUGAAAUGAGUAAGUGGACUGUGACUCCUCGGGAGAGAUUAUCUUCUCUUUCCCAAGAAGUACCCUCUGCAGAGUAAGUAAAAUAAAUAGGCUGAAGGAGCGCUGACAGUUAGCAAUUCUAUUGAGAAGAGGCAAGGCCUCUCAAAGACUGCUGGGCCUUCGUCAAGUUCUGGAAGUUGAAGAAGGACGGAAGACCUGAACAAGCCAUGUGGAUGAGGAUGUCUGUGGGCAGAAGUGACUGGCACCUUAAGUGAACACUCUCCCAUUGUGUCUUGGUGUUGAGUCAAGAUGAUGGAACUAAGAGGUUGUCUUGAGGAUGGAAGUAAUCCUAAGUCUGAAGGAGAGAGAGUAAACUGGAAAGAAAUAAAAUUGAGAUAAUGGCAGAUAAUAUGCGAUUUCUUGAGCACUCAAGUUUGUGUAUUAAAAAUUGUAGCUGCCACAUGACAGAAAUGGUGUAAAUAACCACACUAAUAUAAAACAUGGGGAUUAAAUUUUUUUGGGGGGGGAGUAAGAUUUAAUGGAAAAUAUUUUUUGCAUUGACAAAUUUAUGUAUUUAUUUUAUCUAUAAAUGUUUUCCCUCUGUUGAAGCAGUAUGUUGUUUAUUUCUGUCUAUCAUUUAAGAAACAUUUAUUCCUGUUCUAUAAACACAAAUAUUUAUCACCAAUAUAUAUAAAAAAUGAGUUCUAGUUAACUGUGUAAAUGACAAUGGUACUGUGCCUCAUCUUGUAAUUUCACAAACUUACUUAAAAAUUAUACAAAUGUGGCAUGAUACAAUGUAAAGUCAAAAUUUCUAAAAUAGUUGUAAAAAUCAUAGAUGUCUAUUUGUAUAAAAUGAUAAUGUUUAACAUAUGAUUGAAUUCUCAGAGCACUUCUGUAAAGCAAUUAUUUUUACUUUCUGCAGUUGAUAACUAAAAUAUAUUUGAAACAUUUAAAGGAUAUACAAUAUUAAAACAUUGUGAAGUCUUUGAAAACCACAUAGUCAAGACUUUUAUUGAAAGUAAACAAGUAUGAGAUCAUUACUUAUGUGUCACAGCCUGAGGCGACUACAGGAUAUCUUUUACCUCACAUUCAUUUUUAAAAAAAUCAAUAUCAAAUUAAUAUAUAUUAUUCUGAGGAGAGCAUUUCACGUUUAUCUCAAAUUUAUGUAAUUGCAUUAUAUAAAGUUUUAUUGUCUAUUUUUCAACACCCUUUGCAGUCACAUAUCUUUCUUUGUCUUUUGUAAAUCAUAACCUUGGACUGAAUCCCUGAGCAAGAAAUACCAUCUUCUGACAUCACCGUAAUAAACGUUCCAUGUUAAGCAUGUCUUCUGCCUCUGUCAACAUCAGGAACAGCCACAAGGUUGUAGAGUCUAUUUUUGUCCAACACGCUUCCCAUUUGCUUUGCUUGUCACAGCAGGUUAUCUCAGCAUUCCUUUUGCUGACUCUCACUUUCCCUUCUUGCUCUGUAUAAUACACAUACAACACAGUUCAGCCUUCUCAGCAGAGUUUGGAUCACAUAACAGUGUGAAAGGCUUGUCUUUCCCUGCAGCUGGAACCUAACCUCUUCCCUGUUAUUCUAAGUGCCCACCUUGUUUUCUACCCCUUUUCUUUCUUCCCACAUCCUCACCAACGAUGAUAUUUUUCUUGUCCAUGCCUCAGCUGUCCUUUGAGGCUCUUCUUAUACUAUAUUUUCUGCAUGGACAUAUAAAUUCUUUUCCAUUUAUUUUUUUUUGUUCCCUCGUUCUGGUAUUGAAAGUUGUGUCAUUGAUACAGCACAGAACUCACUGGAUUAUAAUUACUCAUCGACACACACUUUGAAUAGGUGGAUGCCAAAACCCUGGAGAAAACAUUAAUGUAGUUUAAUGACAUUAAAUGUUUGUAUAAGAGAACUGACUUUUGUGUACUUAACAAAUGACUUUGAUGAAGAGGAACUGUACAAGAAGAAUUCAAAAGGACACAAAUAUUGCACAAAAUUAAGAGUGUAGAAAUGGGGCCAGGCAAACCAUUCUGUAAAAGCUACAUUGCAAGCAUGCUUGCCUUUGUGGGUCAUAGUCACUGUUAUAACCACUAAACUUUAUCGUUUUAAUAAAAGAAGCAGCCAAUGACAAUAUA
This is a long non-coding RNA of Peromyscus californicus insignis, 2387 nucleotides long. RefSeq lists it as uncharacterized. The transcript is spliced from 3 exons. Lineage: Eukaryota; Metazoa; Chordata; Mammalia; Rodentia; Cricetidae. The record is from RefSeq and is a predicted model, not a curated record.